AAUCAAGUACAUCAACGGCUAUGAUUAAAGGGUAUCUACAAUCAAAUCUCUAAGAAUAUAAAAUCAUAUCUUCUAAGAUUACCUAUCUUAUCUAAGAUAUGUAAUCUUAUAAAAUAAUAUCUUAUAAGAUUACAUAUCAUAUCUAAAAUCUCUAAGAUUAUAAAAUCAUAUCUUUUAAGAUCAUGUUUCCAUAUUUGUCUAACUUGUAGAUGGGCCUUCAAU
RNAcentral lists this long non-coding RNA (222 nucleotides) under Gossypium barbadense (sea-island cotton). RNAcentral describes it as "long non-coding RNA (GBAR_LNC000892)". Lineage: Eukaryota; Viridiplantae; Streptophyta; Magnoliopsida; Malvales; Malvaceae. The record is from RNAcentral.